AGGCUGACACAGAUGACAGGACAAAGGAGCAUACAUGGAAAUAAAAUGAAAAUUCAGAACAGAUGUCAGGACACAUUUUUCAUGCUGAAUGUGCAGAGUGGCCAACCAGGUUUCCUUUUCACUCCAUGCAGUAACUCUCCACAAUAUGGACUGAGACCUAAUUGUCCAUGUGUGUUCCUAGCAUGUCAAACACAGCUACCGUUUUCAAGAGGAGCACUAGGAGUGUGCAGGUCUAGCACCUGAACGACGUAUCACGAACCUGCAACUAUCAGUGACACUUAGCACUUGCAAUUGCAGGGAAAUACAUUGUAUUUGUUUAAGGAUCCCUGAGUGGGCCAACUGCAGGAAAGAAUUUACUUUGUUUCUUGCCUGAAAGAAUUGACUGUGUCCAUGUUAAGACUGGAGUCAGGAGUUGUGAAUGGGGUGUCGAUGAUUCUUCUGAAUCUGGAUUGCAUGAGGAGCAUUAAGGACCAUUCUGCACGUCUGCUUUCCUGAUAGAUUGGUUAGCUCCCAUUUUAUUUUAUAUGCUGUACAUUGCUAUGCUGCAUCUAAAGCCAACAUUUCCGUGACUUCAGAACAAAUUGGAUUGAUUCUAGAAGCCUUUUGGCUUUAUGUAGUUUCUAAAUUGGCACAUGCUGCAUCUGUGCUACUUGAAUUAACAGAACUGUUCAUAUUUUACCACAGAUUAUUGGCAAAUUUUCCUUUAUUACUUGCAAAUGGGUACUUUGGAUAGCAUGUGAGAUUCAGUCAAGUCCUAUCCAUUUCUAACAGGUAUAUUAAAACAUGAUUAUAUGAGGCUAUAUUUUAUGAUAUAAAUGAUGAUUUGACCAUCCUGAAAAAGAAAAUACCUUUUUUUAUAUCUGGCAACAGGUGUUUUUAAGUGCUGUAUAUAGUUAAAUGUACAACAGGACUUUACAUUACUGUUCUUAUUUGGAGUGUGUAGUCAGCCCUUGACCCC
This is a non-coding RNA of Anas platyrhynchos (mallard), 958 nucleotides long. The record is from RefSeq and is a predicted model, not a curated record. NCBI's taxonomy places the organism in Eukaryota, Metazoa, Chordata, Aves, Anseriformes, Anatidae.